RNAcentral lists this long non-coding RNA (953 nucleotides) under Solanum tuberosum (potato). RNAcentral describes it as "long non-coding RNA (STUB_LNC000199)". The record is from RNAcentral. Lineage: Eukaryota; Viridiplantae; Streptophyta; Magnoliopsida; Solanales; Solanaceae.
CAAAUAGUCAUUGACGUCAGGGUCACUAUUGACAACGUCGCCAACAUCAGUCACGAGCUUGACAAUUCGUUUUGCAUUUGUGUAUGUUGCAAAUGCUUUUCCUCCAAUCAUGACUGUGCGAGGAGUUGUAUUUUUCCUUUCUUCAGGGCUCAUUCCCUAUAGUAAUGAUACAGGUAUAAGAAUAUCAUUACUUUCUAAAAGAUGGAAUAUCCCAAUCUUGCAUCAUCUCAAUAAUCUCAAGAUUUCAUCAUGUGCAGAAAGGAAACCACAAAAGUAGAAAAGUUAAAACUGAAUAUGAUCCUUAUUUUACUUGUUAGAUCAUUGCUGGCAGUGACAACGAUCUUGAAAUAUUAAUGCCGCUAACAAGGAGAAAUAACAGAAAAUGGAAAUUUGGCAGUUUCACGCACCUUAAGCUUCUUGUAUCUAUAGAUGACGCCCAGAAUAUUUAGAAGCUGCCUUUUGUAUUCAUGGAUACGUUUGACUUGUAUGUCAAAAAGGGAAUUUGGAUCAAUGCUCACAGCUGUCACAUGCAGUAUAUACUGUGCCAAACGCUGCUUGUUGGCCAUCUUGGCUGAUUCCCAUUCAGCAUGGAGCUCCGAAUUAUCAGCAAACUUUGCAAAAUGUAUAGUCAAUUGCAAUAUCAUUACCCACAUGAAGGAAAAUGUUCAAUGUAUGCAAGCUUUUACGAUAAAUGAUAUGUUACACACACACAUACACACACAUAUAUAAGAUACCUCCCGAAGAUUAGCAAGCAGUUCGAGGUUCGUCACCCAUUGAUCUGUUUUUAACCACUUGGUAAUUAUAUGACUCAGCUCAGGACUACAAAAUCGGAUCCACCUACGAGGAGUUAUACCAUUGGUCUUAUUCUGGAACUUGGUGGGCCAUACAGAGACAUAAUCAGCAAAUAACUCAGCCUUCAGGAUGUCACUAUGCAGCUGGGCAACACCAUUUAC